Homo sapiens (human) is the source of this 330-nucleotide long non-coding RNA. RefSeq lists it as uncharacterized. The transcript has 3 exons. Lineage: Eukaryota; Metazoa; Chordata; Mammalia; Primates; Hominidae. The record is from RefSeq and is a predicted model, not a curated record.
UGAAUGCCUCAGCUCCCAGCCUUGAUGUGUUCUGCGGGAACUACAGGGCCUCCAUCGCACACUGCAGGACUGGACCAAAGUUUCCCUCGCAACUUCCCACAGAUUGGGUGGCAGUUCUCAAAGAAUACACCUGAUCUUACCAUACCUGAUGUAAGACAAUGAUGCUACUGAGAUACAUGACAACAUGCACCUGCUUCUGAGGAGCUCAUAAUGCAGCCUGCAGCACAGAGUGUGUGGAAAACCUUUCUUCUGCAGUAUGACAUUAUCCAAGUUUAUUACAGAGGCAUCCUCUCAUGAAUGUUAUGGAAAGUAUAACUAGAGAUACGUAGG